CGCACUGGUCAUGCUUCUUCCCUCUCUCUCUCUGCUCUUCUCCGCCUCUUUGUCUUCCCUCUCUUUGCCUCUUCUCUGAGUCUUUCUCUUCCCUCUCUCUACCUCUUUCUCUUCUCUUCAUUUCCGACGUUGCCUCAAUUCUCAGUAAACGGAGUUGGUUGGUACCACACAUACAAACGACGCAUCCUUCUGUUUCUUUCGGCUUCGAUUUCUCUCUCCUCUUCCUCCUCAACUUGAUCCCAAUUCCACUAGGGAUUCAAUUCUGAUGCGAUUCCAAGCUUGUUAGAUCCACGACAAGGUUUCAUUUCCCAGAUUUUUUUGUAAAAAAAAUUCUUCCUCUGUCUCAACUUUCUUACGCAUUUGGAGGAAGCAAAAAAGUGUUGGUAGUUGAAAUUGACGCUCACAAGAACAAGACUUUGCCUUAAAAUAAAGAAUCAAACGCUUCCUGGAUUGGGUUCUCGGAAAAUUAGGAUCUGUUGCUUCAGUGCUUCACUAUUUUUUUUGUCUUGAGGAGCACUUGGUGCAACUUUUCUUGUUCUACACAAGAUUGAAAACAAGAGGUCCUCUGCUUCUUAUCAAUGUCUUUUGAGGGCUACGAAUAUAAAGAAAGCUCGGGGAUCUUAUUUUUCGGAGGAGGUAACUAAUAAGGCUUUGUGUCCCAUUCCUUGGUCUUCCAUUUUCGGGGAUCUUAUAUUUCGGGGAUCUUAUCAAUAAAAUAAAUAGAUCCUCCAUUUCUCCACUGCCAAUUGUUUACUCUUCCACACUACAUGAUAGUUCAAAUGGCAAAAGGAAGAUAGAAGAGAAGAACCUGGGAUUUUUGGUGUGUAUUGGGAGGGGCAAGGACUCAGAAAGCAUUAAUCUGGUUCACACGCUACUGCACCUGAAUAUUGGAAGCUAAUGGUCCGAAAAAUCCAAGGAAUUUGUUUCAGAAAUACGAGUGAAUAUGAGGUACCACUUGAUUUCCCAAUGCAUUUGAAGAGCUUCGCCAAGAAUUAGCCAAGGUUUAUAGUCUCCAAGUUUGGCUGCCAAGUGCAAUGCACUGUUUCCCUUGUUAUCCACUUUUUCGAAUAUAUUACUUUUCUUUAGAUUUUUCUUGUUGAGCAAGAAGUUAUAUAAGUAAGUUUGUCUGUUCUCUACUGUCAAUAGCACUAUAUUUUUUUUUCUUGGCAUCCAUAUCAUGAACAGCUACUAGAAACGAGUCAAUGAUUUUCUCUACCAUUUCUGUCACACCGUUCUUUGCAGCUAUUAAUAUCGGUGUCUCCAACACCUUCUUCUUUUUGGUGUUA
Long non-coding RNA from Glycine soja, 1286 nucleotides. RefSeq lists it as uncharacterized. The transcript is spliced from 8 exons. The record is from RefSeq and is a predicted model, not a curated record. NCBI's taxonomy places the organism in Eukaryota, Viridiplantae, Streptophyta, Magnoliopsida, Fabales, Fabaceae.